UACCAGCACCCCGAGUGGUCGGGACGUUUAUUGGCCUAAAGCAUCCGUAGCCGGUUCUACAAGUCUUCCGUUAAAUCCACCUGCUUAACAGAUGGGCUGCGGAAGAUACUACGGAGCUAGGAGGCGGGAGAGGCAAGCGGUACUCGAUGGGUAGGGGUAAAAUCCGUUGAUCCAUUGAAGACCACCAGUGGCGAAGGCGGCUUGCCAGAACGCGCUCGACGGUGAGGGAUGAAAGCUGGGGGAGCAAACCGG
This 252-nucleotide ribosomal RNA is filed under the name uncultured bacterium. RNAcentral's name for it is "partial 16S ribosomal RNA". It matches the Rfam family "Archaeal small subunit ribosomal RNA", at positions 474 to 727 of the family's 1478-position model. The record is from RNAcentral.